UUAAAAAUAAGCUAACUAAAGCUUUUGGGCUCAUACCCCAAAUAUAUAGAUAUACCUAUUUUUUAAA
Molecule: transfer RNA, 67 nt
Filed under: Hydatophylax nigrovittatus
Lineage: Eukaryota; Metazoa; Arthropoda; Insecta; Trichoptera; Limnephilidae
Also listed under: 1 other name
Description: tRNA-Met
Source: RNAcentral